RNAcentral lists this ribosomal RNA (580 nucleotides) under Adelie penguin guano bacterium 53. RNAcentral's name for it is "bacterial SSU rRNA". It matches the Rfam family "Bacterial small subunit ribosomal RNA", at positions 93 to 686 of the family's 1533-position model. The record is from RNAcentral.
UAGUGGCGAACGGGUGAGUAACACGUGAGUAACCUGCCCUUGACUCUGGGAUAAGCCUGGGAAACUGGGUCUAAUACUGGAUAUGCACCGUGAACCGCAUGGUUUUUGGUGGAAAGAUUUAUUGGUCAAGGAUGGACUCGCGGCCUAUCAGCUUGUUGGUGAGGUAAUGGCUCACCAAGGCGACGACGGGUAGCCGGCCUGAGAGGGUGACCGGCCACACUGGGACUGAGACACGGCCCAGACUCCUACGGGAGGCAGCAGUGGGGAAUAUUGCACAAUGGGCGAAAGCCUGAUGCAGCGACGCCGCGUGAGGGAUGACGGCCUUCGGGUUGUAAACCUCUUUCAGUAGGGAAGAAGCGAAAGUGACGGUACCUGCAGAAGAAGCGCCGGCUAACUACGUGCCAGCAGCCGCGGUAAUACGUAGGGCGCAAGCGUUAUCCGGAAUUAUUGGGCGUAAAGAGCUCGUAGGCGGUUUGUCGCGUCUAUCGUGAAAGUCCGAGGCUCAACCUCGGAUCUGCGGUGGGUACCGGCAGACUAGAGUGAUGUAGGGGAGACUGGAAUUCCUGGUGUAGCGGUGAAA